GUCGAGCGCAGGAAGCAAGCUGAUCCCCUUCGGGGGUGACGCUUGUGGAAUGAGCGGCGGACGGGUGAGUAACACGUGGGCAACCUGCCUGUAAGACUGGGAUAACCCCGGGAAACCGGGGCUAAUACCGGAUAAUACUUUCUUUUGCAUAAAGGAAAGUUGAAAGGCGGCUUCGGCUGUCACUUACAGAUGGGCCCGCGGCGCAUUAGCUAGUUGGUGAGGUAACGGCUCACCAAGGCGACGAUGCGUAGCCGACCUGAGAGGGUGAUCGGCCACACUGGGACUGAGACACGGCCCAGACUCCUACGGGAGGCAGCAGUAGGGAAUCUUCCGCAAUGGACGAAAGUCUGACGGAGCAACGCCGCGUGAGUGAUGAAGGUUUUCGGAUCGUAAAACUCUGUUGUUAGGGAAGAACAAGUUGGAUAGUAACUGACCCAACCUUGACGGUACCUAACCAGAAAGCCACGGCUAACUACGUGCCAGCAGCCGCGGUAAUACGUAGGUGGCAAGCGUUGUCCGGAAUUAUUGGGCGUAAAGCGCUCGCAGGCGGUCCUUUAAGUCUGAUGUGAAAUCUCGCGGCUCAACCGCGAACGGUCAUUGGAAACUGGAGGACUUGAGUACAGAAGAGGAGAGUGGAAUUCCACGUGUAGCGGUGAAAUGCGUAGAGAUGUGGAGGAACACCAGUGGCGAAGGCGACUCUCUGGUCUGUAACUGACGCUGAGGAGCGAAAGCGUGGGGAGCGAACAGGAUUAGAUACCCUGGUAGUCCACGCCGUAAACGAUGAGUGCUAGGUGUUAGGGGGUUUCCGCCCCUUAGUGCUGAAGUUAACGCAUUAAGCACUCCGCCUGGGGAGUACGG
This 858-nucleotide ribosomal RNA is filed under the name Oceanobacillus sp. Its description in RNAcentral is "bacterial SSU rRNA". It matches the Rfam family "Bacterial small subunit ribosomal RNA", at positions 46 to 885 of the family's 1533-position model. The record is from RNAcentral. Lineage: Bacteria; Bacillati; Bacillota; Bacilli; Caryophanales; Bacillaceae.